GAUGAACGCUGGCGGCGUGCUUAACACAUGCAAGUCGAACGGAAAGGCUCCUGCUUGCAGGGGUACUCGAGUGGCGAACGGGUGAGUAACACGUGGGUGAUCUGCCCUGCACUUCGGGAUAAGCCUGGGAAACUGGGUCUAAUACCGGAUAGGACCACAUUUUGGACGGUGUGGUGGAAAGUUUUUCGGUGUGAGAUGAGCUCGCGGCCUAUCAGCUUGUUGGUGGGGUAAUGGCCUACCAAGGCGUCGACGGGUAGCCGGCCUGAGAGGGUGUACGGCCACAUUGGGACUGAGAUACGGCCCAGACUCCUACGGGAGGCAGCAGUGGGGAAUAUUGCACAAUGGGCGCAAGCCUGAUGCAGCGACGCCGCGUGGGGGAUGACGGCCUUCGGGUUGUAAACUCCUUUCGCUAGGGACGAAGCGUUUUUGUGACGGUACCUGGAGAAGAAGCACCGGCUAACUACGUG
This 467-nucleotide ribosomal RNA is filed under the name uncultured bacterium. RNAcentral's name for it is "partial 16S ribosomal RNA". It matches the Rfam family "Bacterial small subunit ribosomal RNA", at positions 28 to 507 of the family's 1533-position model. The record is from RNAcentral.